RNAcentral lists this long non-coding RNA (464 nucleotides) under Coturnix japonica (Japanese quail). RNAcentral's name for it is "lncRNA (ENSCJPG00005009461.1)". The record is from RNAcentral. Lineage: Eukaryota; Metazoa; Chordata; Aves; Galliformes; Phasianidae.
AUGAGACACUUUGGUUUGGCCUUGCAUCAGCUACGCUGCUGUUGGAGAUACAUACAGGAAUACUCCAAUAUCUUCCUCUGUUUCAUUUCCAGAGUUUUCGAAUUAGAAGAUAAUUUGUUCUCCUCUUGUGUUUCAAGAGUACAUCAUAGGCUCUGGAGCAUCGCUGUGUCUCAAUCUCUGUACUCCAGCACCUGCUGCACACCUGGCUGCCUUUAUUCAUUCAACCUGCUAUACACUUGACCUGAUUCAAAGAUGGCAUCCCACACCUUUCCAAAGGCUUACCUGUGGCUGUGCAUCAUCUCUCAAUCGGCUCCAGUGAGAAGACAACGUCAAGUGGAGGACAUGGGAAAAAACUCCAGAAGUAAAACGUUCACUCCGUGAGUUUGCCUGACAUCAAAUGAGGGGUAUAUACCUUCCUCAGCUCCCUGUGUGGCAUCAUCAAUAAAUGAAUAAAGUCUUGUCCA